AUACGUAGGGGGCAAGCGUUAUCCGGAAUUAUUGGGCGUAAAGAGUACGUAGGUGGUAUUUUAAGCGCAGGGUUUAAGGCAAUGGCUCAACUAUUGUUCGCCCUGUGAACUGGAACACUUGAGUGCAGGAGGGGAAAGCGGAAUUCCUAGUGUAGCGGUGAAAUGCGUAGAUAUUAGGAGGAACACCGGUGGCGAAGGCGGCUUUCUGGACUGUAACUGACACUGAGGUACGAAAGCGUGGGUAGCAAACAGGAUUAGAUACCCUGGUAGUCCACGCCGUAAACGAUGAGCACUAGGUGUCGGGGUCGCAAGACUUCGGUGCCGCAGUUAACGCAAUAAGUGCUCCGCCUGGGGAGUACGGCCGCAAGGCUAAAACUCAAAUGAAUUGACGGGG
This 394-nucleotide ribosomal RNA is filed under the name uncultured bacterium. RNAcentral's name for it is "partial 16S ribosomal RNA". It matches the Rfam family "Bacterial small subunit ribosomal RNA", at positions 523 to 918 of the family's 1533-position model. The record is from RNAcentral.